This 2270-nucleotide ribosomal RNA is filed under the name uncultured Planctomycetota bacterium. Its description in RNAcentral is "bacterial SSU rRNA". The stretch from base 1 to 1508 matches the Rfam family "Bacterial small subunit ribosomal RNA". The record is from RNAcentral. Lineage: Bacteria; Pseudomonadati; Planctomycetota.
GGAUUAGGCAUGCAAGUCGUGCGCGAAAGUCUUCGGACGAGUAAAGCGGCGAAAGGGUGAGUAACACGUAAUCAACGUACCCCCCAGACCGGGAUAACCUCUAGAAAUGGUGGAUAAUACCGGAUGGACUUAUGGCUAGGCAUCUAGUCAAUAGUAAACGGCGGCUUCGGCUGCUGCUGGGGGAGCGGGUUGCGGCCUAUCAGCUUGUUGGUGCGGUAACGGCGCACCAAGGCAAUGACGGGUAGCGGGUCUGAGAGGAUGAUCCGUCACACUGGGACUGAGACACUGCCCAGACUCCUACGGGAGGCUGCAGUCGAGAAUCUUCCACAAUGGGCGAAAGCCUGAUGGAGCGACGCUGCGUGUAGGAUGAAGGCCCUAGGGUUGUAAACUACUGUCACGCUAUAGGAACCCGUAGUCGUUAAUAGCGGCUACGCUGACCAAAGCGAAAGGAAGUGCCGGCUAACUCCGUGCCAGCAGCCGCGGUAAUACGGAGGGCGCAAGCGUUGUUCGGAAUCACUGGGCAUAAAGAGCAUGUAGGCGGUCUAUUAAGUCGGAUGUGAAAGCCCUCGGCCCAACCGGGGAACUGCAUUCGAUACUGAUAGACUUGAGGACAGGAGGGGUGAGUGGAACUUCAGGUGGAACGGUGAAAUGUGUAGAUAUCUGAAGGAACACCGGUGGCGAAAGCGGCUCACUGGCCUGUCUCUGACGCUGAGAUGCGAAAGCUAGGGUAGCGAACGGGAUUAGAUACCCCGGUAGUCCUAGCCGUAAACGAUGGGUACUAGGUAGUGGGUUUUCCCUAUGGGGCUCAUUGCCGUAGCUAAUGUAUUAAGUACCCCGCCUGGGGAGUACGCUCGCAAGGGUAAAACUCAAAGGAAUUGACGGGGGAUCACACAAGCGGUGGAGCAUGUGGUUUAAUUCGAAGCAACGCGAAGAACCUUACCUGGCCUUGACAUACAUGGAUUAGCUCUGUGAAAGCAGAGUGACAGCUCUUCGGAGUCGGAACAUGAACAGGUGUUGCAUGGCUGUCGUCAGCUCGUGUCGUGAGAUGUUGGGUUAAGUCCCGUAACGAGCGAAACCCUUGUCGUUAGUUGCCAGCGAGUAAUGUCGGGGACUCUAACGAGACUGCCGUUGUAAAGCGGAGGAAGGUGGGGACGACGUCAAGUCAUCAUGGCCCUUAUGGCCAGGGCGACACACGUGCUACAAUGGUCUACACAAAGGGUUCCGAGGCCGCGAGGUCAAGGCAAUCCCACAAAGUAGGCCCCAGUUCGGAUUGCAGGCUGAAAUUCGCCUGCAUGAAGCCGGAAUCGCUAGUAAUCGCGUAUCAGCCAUGACGCGGUGAAUAUGUUCCUGAUCCUUGUACACACUGCCCGUCAAGCCACGGGAGCGGGGAGCGCUCGAAGUCGUUUUGUCUAACCCUCGGGAGGACGGCGCCGAAAGCGAGCUUCGUAACUGGGACUAAGUCGUAACAAGGUAGCCGUAGGGGAACCUGCGGCUGGAUCACCUCCUUUCUAACGGAUAUGUUAGACGCCCCAGCUACGCUGGGGUGGCAAGCAUGGGACUUGCUCAUGCCAACGAAGGUCACCCUUUCUUAUACUCUUCUCGGAGAGGCACUACUUACGAGUAGUGUCAUCGGGAACCAGGCCAAUCAGCCUGGUAGACACGGUAAUUGAACCGCGCACUCCACAGGAGUGUGAUUGCCUUCGGGCAUGUAUCAAUGCCGUGCGAGCGCCGAACCGGUAGGGCCUGUAGCUCAGUUGGUUAGAGCGUUCGCCUGAUAAGCGAGAGGUCACAAGUUCGACUCUUGUCAGGCCCACCACCUUCAACGGGGGAUUAGCUCAGUUGGUAGAGCACCUGGUUUGCAACCAGGGGGUCAUCGGUUCGAGUCCGUUAUCCUCCAUCACUUAUGGUGGUGGAGUUAUGUGACCCUCCCGCGUCAGUCAAACACCCUUAUCCGAGAGGCGAGUAGAAGAGCGCACGAACAGAUCGAGUCCUUCGGGGCCUGGUCGUUCUUUGAAAACAAGGUGAAUUAGAACGUGGGCAUUAAGUUGCCACGAGUAAAAACAAGAAGAGCGUGGUUAAGCUACGAAGAGUGUAUGGUGGAUGCCUUGGCGUCUGAAGCCGAUGAAGGACGUGACAUAGCUGCGAGAAGCUUCGGGGAGCCGCUAAGUGGGCUUUGAUCCGGAGAUGUCCGAGAUUGGGAAACCAGGUGAGAUUUAUCUCUCAUCAGCGCGUAAGCGCAGGGAACGCAGGGAACUGAAACAUCUAAGUAC